UACGUAGGGUGCAAGCGUUAUCCGGAAUUAUUGGGCGUAAAGAGCUCGUAGGCGGUUUGUCGCGUCUGCUGUGAAAUCCAGAGGCUCAACCUCGGGCCUGCAGUGGGUACGGGCAGACUGGAGUGCGGUAGGGGAGAAUGGAAUUCCUGGUGUAGCGGUGGAAUGCACAGAUAUCAGGAGGAACACCGAUGGCGAAGGCAGUUCUCUGGGCCGUAACUGACGCUGAGGAGCGAAAGCGUGGGGAGCGAACAGG
RNAcentral lists this ribosomal RNA (253 nucleotides) under uncultured bacterium. RNAcentral's name for it is "partial 16S ribosomal RNA". It matches the Rfam family "Bacterial small subunit ribosomal RNA", at positions 524 to 776 of the family's 1533-position model. The record is from RNAcentral.